This 1283-nucleotide ribosomal RNA is filed under the name Colasposoma dauricum. RNAcentral's name for it is "16S ribosomal RNA". The stretch from base 1043 to 1200 matches the Rfam family "Archaeal large subunit ribosomal RNA", at positions 2542 to 2701 of the family's 2987-position model. The record is from RNAcentral. Lineage: Eukaryota; Metazoa; Arthropoda; Insecta; Coleoptera; Chrysomelidae.
AUCUGAAAUUUUGUUUUUAUUAAUAUUUAAUUUUUAUUAUUAUUUUUAUUAAAAUUUUUUUUUUAUUAUUUAUUUUGAAAUAAUUUUUUUUAUUAUAGUUUAUUUGUUUGUAAGAUUAUAAAUUUUUUUAUUUUUAAGAAAAAUUAAUUUUUUGUACCUUGGGUAUCAGGGUUUAAUAACUUAAUUUAUUAAUUAAUAAUUAUCCCGAAUUUAAAAGAGCUAUAAUUAUUUUUUUAUUUAUUGUUGAAUAAAUAUAAUUAAAUUAAUUAUUGUAAUGAAAUGUUAUUCGUUUUUAAAUUUAUCUGGUUUUCUAAGAAAUAAAUUUAAUUUAUUUAUUUUUAAUAAUUUUUUUAUUUAUAAAUUUUUAUUAGAAAUAUUUAAUUUUAAAAGGGAUUAGCUUUUUAAAAAAUUAAUUAUUAAUUAUUAUUUAAAAUUUUUUAUUUAUGAAUAAAAAUUUCUUUUUUAUUGUAUUUUAUUAUUAUGAGAAUUUUUUAUAUUAUUUUAUUUUUUUAUAAUUUUUAUAUUAGAAUGUGAUUUAAAAUUUUUUAAAUUUAGUAAUAAUGUUAAAAUUAGUAAAUUUUUUUGUAAUUUUAUAUUUUACUGAAAGAUUAAUAAAAGGAACUCGGCAAAAUUAUUAUUCACCUGUUUAAUAAAAACAUGUCCUAUAUUGUAAAAAGAUUUUAGGUCUGGCCUGCCCAAUGAUGAAAUUGAAUGGUCGCAGUAAUUUGACUGUGCUAAGGUAGCAUAAUCAUUAGUUUUUUAAUUGAAAACUGGAAUGAAAGGUUGGAUGAGAUAAUAACUGUCUCUUAUUAAUAUAUUGAAUUUUACUUUUAAGUAAAAAGGCUUAAAUUUUAUUAAAAGACGAGAAGACCCUUUAGAUUUUUAUAUAUUAUUAAAAAUUAAUUUUUUAGGAUAUAUUUUAAUUUUUAUUGUAUAUUUGAUUGGGGUGAUUAUUAAAUUAAUUUAACUUUAAUUGUUAAUUACAUUGAUUUAUGGUUUAUUUGAUCCAAAUUUUUUGAUUAUUAGAUAAAAUUACCUAAGGGAUAACAGCGUAAUUUUUUUAGAGAGUUCAAAUCGAUAAAAAAGAUUGCGACCUCGAUGUUGGAUUAAAGUUUAGAAUUGGUGCAGAAGCUGAUUUUUUGGUCUGUUCGACCAUUAAAACUUUACAUGAUCUGAGUUUAGACCGGCGUGAGCCAGGUUGGUUUCUAUCUUUAAUUAACUAAAAAAUUUUAGUACGAAAGGACCAAUUUUUUUUUAAAUUAAAAUUUGUUUGAAUAUUAUUA